UCUGGAUCCUUUCGCUGCGCACUUUCCGACUGCGCUCACCGGCAGCCAGACGUCUACGUUCUUCCGUCCGACGAUCUGCGGCUCGUCGUUGUAGCUUGCGUGUCCUCUUGAAGGAAACAGGAGCACAAGAUGUUCCAGACGCUCUAUUAUGACUUACCACCAAUGUCAACAGAAGUUCUCGCUCUCCGUAAGAAACUCUGGGAAGCCGAAGGCAUCCAUUUAAUUUACAACGUUCCCCGUUUCGGUGAAGGCAUCCGAAUGAAGGGUCCCAUGCGGCCCUUUGCUGGUCUUUGCGUCGCCUUUCUUCUACUGCUGAGGGAAGACCGGCAGUGGUG
Dermacentor albipictus is the source of this 335-nucleotide non-coding RNA. NCBI's taxonomy places the organism in Eukaryota, Metazoa, Arthropoda, Arachnida, Ixodida, Ixodidae. The record is from RefSeq and is a predicted model, not a curated record.